Molecule: transfer RNA, 89 nt
Filed under: Mycoplasmopsis cynos
Lineage: Bacteria; Bacillati; Mycoplasmatota; Mycoplasmoidales; Metamycoplasmataceae
Description: tRNA-Ile
Rfam family: tRNA
About the family: Transfer RNA (tRNA) molecules are approximately 80 nucleotides in length. Their secondary structure includes four short double-helical elements and three loops (D, anti-codon, and T loops). Further hydrogen bonds mediate the characteristic L-shaped molecular structure. tRNAs have two regions of fundamental functional importance: the anti-codon, which is responsible for specific mRNA codon recognition, and the 3' end, to which the tRNAs corresponding amino acid is attached (by aminoacyl-tRNA synthetases). tRNAs cope with the degeneracy of the genetic code in two manners: having more than one tRNA (with a specific anti-codon) for a particular amino acid; and 'wobble' base-pairing, i.e. permitting non-standard base-pairing at the 3rd anti-codon position.
Source: RNAcentral
GCGCGAAUGGUGAAAUUGGCAGAGACACGCUAGAUUUAUACUCUAGUGCUUUAAACAGCAUGAGGGUUCGAGUCCCUCUUCGCGCACCA